RNAcentral lists this ribosomal RNA (607 nucleotides) under Inga paterno. Its description in RNAcentral is "eukaryotic LSU rRNA". The stretch from base 174 to 329 matches the Rfam family "5.8S ribosomal RNA". The record is from RNAcentral. Lineage: Eukaryota; Viridiplantae; Streptophyta; Magnoliopsida; Fabales; Fabaceae.
AGCGACCCGUGAACCGGUUGGAACAGAACUCUGAGCGGGGGAGGGCGACGGCCCGCCCGAGGCCUCUCCCGGCAACCAAACCCCGGCGCCCCAGGCGCCAAGGAAACGAAACAGAGCGGGGCACGCCCGCCGGCGGCGCCGGCGUGGCGUCUCAUGCCAUUUGGAUCCGAAAUGACUCUCGGCAACGGAUAUCUCGGCUCUCGCAUCGAUGAAGAACGUAGCGAAAUGCGAUACUUGGUGUGAAUUGCAGAAUCCCGUGAACCAUCGAGUCUUUGAACGCAAGUUGCGCCCGAAGCCACUAGGCCGAGGGCACGUCUGCCUGGGUGUCACACAACGUCGCCAACGCCCGGUCCUCCGGGCGCGGCGGAUGAUGGCCUCCCGGGGGCCUCGCCCCCGGCCGGCUGAAAGAGGGGCCCGACGUGACGGCCGCCACGAUCCACGGUGGUUGAGUGAACACUCGCUCGAGGCCAUGACGUGCGCGCGUCGUCCCGCGGCGAGGGCCCGCCGGCGAGGGCAACCAUGCGACAGCAGGGAGCCCCCCACUCGUACGCGACCCCAGGUCAGNCGGGGCUACCCGCUGAGUUUAAGCAUAUCANUAAGCGGAGGA